UACUUAUGAUGAUUUAAAACUCUUGGUCUGUGUUUCUGAUAUUUUUUAUGACAGAUAUAGAAUAUUCUGAAUUU
This is a non-coding RNA of Agrilus planipennis (emerald ash borer), 74 nucleotides long. NCBI's taxonomy places the organism in Eukaryota, Metazoa, Arthropoda, Insecta, Coleoptera, Buprestidae. The record is from Rfam.